GUGCACGUUUUUUCUGCUGAUGAUCGGUCAAACCCAUAUUCAGAUCAAAUAUAUUUGGAGCUUGAAAAGUUGAACUAUAAAAUAGUACAAGAGGGAUAUGUGCCUGAUAUGAAUUCUGUUCUGCAUGAUGUUGAGGAUUCAGAGAAAAUAAAGAUGCUUAAUCAUCAUAGUGAAAAGCUUGCUAUUGCUUUUGGGUUGAUAUUUAUUCCUCCUGGUUUGCCCAUACGAGUAGUUAAAAAUUUAAGAGUUUGUGGAGAUUGUCACAAUGCAACUAAGUAUAUAUCUAAGAUCACCCAGAGGGAGAUUCUUGUAAGGGAUACUGCCCGAUUCCACUUGUUUAAAGAUGGAAUAUGUUCAUGUGGAGACUUUUGGUGACAGGUCCAGUUGUCAUAUUCUGGAGUCUAAAGCGAUUAGAAAACUAUGCCAUAAGCACCGAUGAGUGUUUGACCAAGCAUUGAAGUAUUUUGACAUAGGCGCAUCUUCCAUAUGAAAUAUCUGUUAAAAACUCACUAUAGCAUGUACAUCAAUUCUUUGUGGCAGGAUUGGUGGGAUAGUUUUGUCAGUUUAAACAGAUUUUUUGGGAACAAUGGAGGCAACUAUUAUUUUGUUGUUGAAGUAGUUCCUUUUAGAGAAGUGGCUUUUAUCUUCUGUGUUUUUUCCCAUUAUUUCAAUCGGAUGCAAGAAUCCGAAAAUCUAUUUUUCAUAUGGAACAGACGCGAGAACAAGCAAUGGCAUUACAAGUCACCAUCGUAUAAGACUGCCUAAGGUUUUGCUCAUUUGUCCUUGUCUGAUUUAGGGUUGUCUCUAUGUUUGCCCUUAUUUGUGUAUGUGUGCCUUAUUUGUCACUGUUUGUUUUUGUGUUUGUUUGUAUCUUUAUCUAUCUGUGCUUGCAUCUCUCUCACUCCCUCUGCGUGGGUGUUUCUGUGACUUUUGUGGGAGUUUGCUUGUGUGUGUGGUCAUGCCUCUAUGUCUAUAAAUGCAUUCGUGUUUAUGUUUGUGGGUGCUACUAUAUAAUUGAAUUUCGAGAAAGGGAUGUUUUGCUGUUAUUAAAUGUUAAUGACCCUUAGCUGAAUUAGAAUGUUUGAGUCGAUCCUUGAUCAAUUUUUACUUAGAUGGUACGAUAUAGUUGCCCCUAAAUUUGACUAACAAAUGAAUUUUUUAAGCAUUGGAAAAUGUGAUGUUUUUGUCUAGUUGUUGUUUGUUCAAGAAUGCCCCAACUUGUUGAACGAAAAUUGGGUAUAUAAAUUCUAGUUACCUGAUUCAAUUUGGGUGUCACUAUGACAUGUAUUUUGAAAAAGAGAUGUUAUGCUAUUUUUUAGCCUUAUUGAACCUAAAUGGAAUCUUUAUGUUAUAGAUGUCUUUGAUUGACCUUGACCCUGAAAAGUUCAAAUUGUGGGGGCCACUAUCAUUGAAAACUUGAUAUCUUUUGUAUUCUUGCACACAGUUUUUCUUUUUGAUUAUUUUAAAGUAUUGGAGUUAUGCUCUAUCUUUACCUGUGUUUGUGUAUCACAAUUAAAUUUUUGGAUUUGAUGCUCACAUUAAAGUUUCUGCUAAACAUUUUGUGCAUCUUCUUUUUUUUUUUUUCUUCGAAUUUAUGGGAGCGGCGAUGCAUUGGUGACAGUGGAGGUUGUUGGGAAACAUCUGUAGUUGAUAUAUUCAAACAAGAUGGAGAACUUUUCUCUUAUAUCCUAAUUGAAUCUUUGCAAAUGUGUACCUUUGUAAAGCAAGAUGCAACUGGGAAUGUAGUGAUAUAUUUCAAGGAGUGCUGUUUGGUGGUUAACCGGAUUGACUCUGGAGCCCUCCCGGCACAAAAACGCAAAAGAAAACAAUAAGUGGAUAAAAGGAUUUUUAGAGAUAAAGUGAAUGAAAAGAAGAAUGAUGGAAAGGAUACAAAUCUGUUGUGGUGGGACUUGGGAUAUGAUUCUCGACAAGAAGUACAAUAAGUGCAAUCAAAUAUAAAAUAACUUUUGAUAUCCUCAAAGAUUGGGUAAUGUUAAGCUUUUGUUAUUAUUCUUUGUUCAUUAGUGUGUUGAUCAUGAUUUUAUAGAAUAUGUAGUUAUCGUAUUUUUGUUAAAUAUAAUUUUUUUAAAACAUUAGUAUUGGUUAAAAUAUUAU
Molecule: non-coding RNA, 2115 nt
Organism: Cajanus cajan (pigeon pea)
Lineage: Eukaryota; Viridiplantae; Streptophyta; Magnoliopsida; Fabales; Fabaceae
Source: RefSeq, a predicted model, not a curated record